AUGAACGCUGGCGGCGUGCCUCAUACAUGCAAGUCGAGCGAACAGAUGAGGAGCUUGCUCCUCUGACGUUAGCGGCGGACGGGUGAGUAACACGUGGAUAACCUACCUAUAAGACUGGGAUAACUUCGGGAAACCGGAGCUAAUACCGGAUAAUAUAUUGAACCGCAUGGUUCAAUAGUGAAAGACGGUUUUGCUGUCACUUAUAGAUGGAUCCGCGCCGCAUUAGCUAGUUGGUAAGGUAACGGCUUACCAAGGCAACGAUGCGUAGCCGACCUGAGAGGGUGAUCAGCCACACUGGAACUGAGACACGGUCCAGACUCCUACGGGAGGCAGCAGUAGGGAAUCUUCCGCAAUGGGCGAAAGCCUGACGGAGCAACGCCGCGUGAGUGAUGAAGGUCUUCGGAUCGUAAAACUCUGUUAUUAGGGAAGAACAAAUGUGUAAGUAACUAUGCACGUCUUGACGGUACCUAAUCAGAAAGCCACGGCUAACUACGUG
RNAcentral lists this ribosomal RNA (496 nucleotides) under uncultured bacterium. RNAcentral's name for it is "partial 16S ribosomal RNA". It matches the Rfam family "Bacterial small subunit ribosomal RNA", at positions 29 to 507 of the family's 1533-position model. The record is from RNAcentral.